This 144-nucleotide unclassified non-coding RNA is filed under the name uncultured Leotiomycetes. Its description in RNAcentral is "sequence contains ITS2". The record is from RNAcentral. Lineage: Eukaryota; Fungi; Ascomycota; Leotiomycetes.
UAACCAAUCCAGCUCGCUGGGUCUUGGGCACCGCCAUCUGGCGGGCCUUAAAAUCAGUGGCGGUACGGCCGGGCUCUGAGCGUAGUAAAUCUUCUCGCUAUAGGGUCCCGGGCGGCACUGGCCAGCAACCCCCCAUUUUUUACA